GAUGAACGCUGACAGAAUGCUCAACACAUGCAAGUCAAUGGGGAAACGGUGCUUGCACCGUGAUAACCAUGGCGGACGGGUGAGUAACGCGUAAAGAACUUGCCUCUUAGUCUGGGAUAACAGAUGGAAACGACUGAUAAAACUAGAUAUUAUUAAAGUUUCGCAUGAAGCUUUAAUGAAAAGAGAUGCUAAGAGAGAGCUUUGCGUCCUAUUAGUUAGUUGGUGAGGUAACGGCUCACCAAGACGAAGAUAGGUAGCCGGUCUGAGAGGAUGAACGGCCACAAGGGGACUGAGAUACGGCCCUUACUCUUACGGGAGGCAGCAGUGGGGAAUAUUGGACAAUGGAGGAGACUCUGAUCCAGCAAUUCUGUGUGCACGAAGACGGUUUUCGGAUUGUAAAGUGCUUUCAGCAGGGAAGAAGAAAGUGACGGUACCUGCAGAAGAAGCGACGGCUAAAUACGUGCCAGCAGCCGCGGUAAUACGUAUGUCGCAAGCGUUAUCCGGAAUUAUUGGGCAUAAAGGGCAUCUAGGCGGAUAUACAAGUCAGGGGUGAAAACUUAGGGCUCAACUCAAAGCUUGCCUUUGAAACUGUAUAUCUAGAGUGCUGGAGAGGUGGACGGAACUACACGAGUAGAGGUGAAAUUCGUAGAUAUGUGUAGGAAUGCCGAUGAUGAAGAUAGUCCACUGGACAGCAACUGACGCUGAAGUGCGAAAGCUAGGGGAGCAAACAGG
This 732-nucleotide ribosomal RNA is filed under the name uncultured Leptotrichia sp. RNAcentral describes it as "bacterial SSU rRNA". It matches the Rfam family "Bacterial small subunit ribosomal RNA", at positions 28 to 776 of the family's 1533-position model. The record is from RNAcentral. Lineage: Bacteria; Fusobacteriati; Fusobacteriota; Fusobacteriia; Fusobacteriales; Leptotrichiaceae.